RNAcentral lists this ribosomal RNA (484 nucleotides) under uncultured bacterium. Its description in RNAcentral is "partial 16S ribosomal RNA". It matches the Rfam family "Bacterial small subunit ribosomal RNA", at positions 30 to 507 of the family's 1533-position model. The record is from RNAcentral.
AUUGAACGCUGGCGGCAGGCCUAACACAUGCAAGUCGAGCGGAUGAAGGGAGCUUGCUCCUGGAUUCAGCGGCGGACGGGUGAGUAAUGCCUAGGAAUCUGCCUGGUAGUGGGGGAUAACGUCCGGAAACGGGCGCUAAUACCGCAUACGUCCUGAGGGAGAAAGUGGGGGAUCUUCGGACCUCACGCUAACAGAUGAGCCUAGGUCGGAUUAGCUAGUUGGUGGGGUAAAGGCCUACCAAGGCGACGAUCCGUAACUGGUCUGAGAGGAUGAUCAGUCACACUGGAACUGAGACACGGUCCAGACUCCUACGGGAGGCAGCAGUGGGGAAUAUUGGACAAUGGGCGAAAGCCUGAUCCAGCCAUGCCGCGUGUGUGAAGAAGGUCUUCGGAUUGUAAAGCACGUUAAGUUGGGAGGAAGGGCAGUAAGUUAAUACCUUGCUGUUUUGACGGUACCAACAGAAUAAGCACCGGCUAACUUCGUG